Molecule: ribosomal RNA, 497 nt
Filed under: uncultured bacterium
Lineage: Bacteria
Description: partial 16S ribosomal RNA
Rfam family: Bacterial small subunit ribosomal RNA
Source: RNAcentral
GAUGAACGCUGGCGGCGUGCCUAAUACAUGCAAGUCGAGCGAACAGAUGAGGAUCUUGCUCCUCUGACGUUAGCGGCGGACGGGUGAGUAACACGUGGAUAACCUACCUAUAAGACUUGGAUAACUUCGUGAAACCGGAUCUAAUACCGGAUAAUAUAUUGAACCGCAUGGUUCAAUAGUUAAAGACGGUUUUUCUUUCACUUAUCGAUGUUUCCUCGCCGCAUUAGCUAGUUGGUAAGGUAACGGCUUACCAAGGCAACGAUGCGUAGCCGACCUGAGAGGGUGAUCGGCAACACUGGAACUGAGACACGGACCAGACUAAUACGGGAGGCAGCAGUAGGGAAUCUUACGCAAUGGGCGAAAGCUUGACGGAGCAACGCCGCGUGAGUGAUGAAGGUCUUCGGAUCGUAAAACUCUGUUAUUAGGGAAGAACAAAUGUGUAAGUAACUAUGCACGGAUUGACGGUACCUAAUCAGAAAGCAACGGCUAACUACGUG